CCUACGGGAGGCAGCAGUUUCGAAUCAUUCACAAUGGGCGAAAGCCUGAUGGUGCGACGCCGCGUGAGGGAUGAAGGUCUUCGGAUUGUAAACCUCUGUCACCGGGGAAGAAACGCUUCAAGUUAAUAGUUUGAAGCCUGACUUAACCCGGAGAGGAAGCAGUGGCUAACUCUGUGCCAGCAGCCGCGGUAAUACAGAGACUGCAAGCGUUAAUUCGGAUUCACUGGGCGUAAAGGGUGCGCAGGCGGCCAAAGUGUGUGAGGCGUGAAAGCCCGGAGCUUAACUCCGGAAUUGCACCUCAAACUACUUGGCUAGAGCAUUGGAGAGGGUAGCAGAAUUCACGGUGUAGCAGUGAAAUGCGUAGAUAUCGUGAGGAAUACCAGAGGCGAAGGCGGCUACCUAGACAAUUGCUGACGCUCAGGCACGAAAGCGUGGGGAGCAAAAGGGAAUUAGAUACCCCUGUAGUCGACGCCCUAAACCGGUAGCACACUACGUCGUUGUCGGACGUCGUACCCACCACCGGCCGACCGACGACGACGUACGUAGUGCGCCGCGAGAGACGACCGCCGACGACGAAACGUAACGAAACGAAAGUAAGUAGACGAGAGAGAGCGACGGACGACGACGAGGGAGGAGGAG
Molecule: ribosomal RNA, 639 nt
Filed under: uncultured bacterium
Lineage: Bacteria
Description: bacterial SSU rRNA
Rfam family: Bacterial small subunit ribosomal RNA (bases 1-552)
Source: RNAcentral